This 90-nucleotide transfer RNA is filed under the name Nitrospirota bacterium. Its description in RNAcentral is "Nitrospirae bacterium (marine sediment metagenome) tRNA-Ser". It matches the Rfam family "tRNA". From Rfam's summary of the family: Transfer RNA (tRNA) molecules are approximately 80 nucleotides in length. Their secondary structure includes four short double-helical elements and three loops (D, anti-codon, and T loops). Lineage: Bacteria; Pseudomonadati; Nitrospirota. RNAcentral also lists the same sequence under 1 other name. The record is from RNAcentral.
GGAGAGAUGUCCGAGUGGCUGAAGGAGCAUGCUUGGAAAGCAUGUGUAGCUUAAUUGCUACCAGGGGUUCGAAUCCCCUUCUCUCCGCCA